This 253-nucleotide ribosomal RNA is filed under the name uncultured bacterium. Its description in RNAcentral is "partial 16S ribosomal RNA". It matches the Rfam family "Bacterial small subunit ribosomal RNA", at positions 524 to 776 of the family's 1533-position model. The record is from RNAcentral.
UACGAAGGGGGCUAGCGUUGCUCGGAAUCACUGGGCGUAAAGCGCACGUAGGCGGAUUGCUAAGUCAGGGGUGAAAUCCUGGAGCUCAACUCCAGAACUGCCUUUGAUACUGGCGAUCUCGAGUCCGGGAGAGGUGAGUGGAACUGCGAGUGUAGAGGUGAAAUUCGUAGAUAUUCGCAAGAACACCAGUGGCGAAGGCGGCAUCCUGGACCGACACUGACGCUGAGGCGCGAAAGCUAGGGGAGCAAACGGG